CGUUCAGGGAUGAAGAUUGGGCGGA
This 25-nucleotide non-coding RNA is filed under the name Cricetulus griseus (Chinese hamster). Lineage: Eukaryota; Metazoa; Chordata; Mammalia; Rodentia; Cricetidae. The record is from RNAcentral.